Molecule: ribosomal RNA, 733 nt
Filed under: Leuconostoc lactis
Lineage: Bacteria; Bacillati; Bacillota; Bacilli; Lactobacillales; Lactobacillaceae
Description: bacterial SSU rRNA
Rfam family: Bacterial small subunit ribosomal RNA
Source: RNAcentral
UAAUACAUGCAAGUCGAACGCGCAGCGAAAGGUGCUUGCACCUUUCAAGCGAGUGGCGAACGGGUGAGUAACACGUGGAUAACCUGCCUCAAGGCUGGGGAUAACAUUUGGAAACAGAUGCUAAUACCGAAUAAAACUUAGUAUCGCAUGAUACAAAGUUGAAAGGCGCUACGGCGUCACCUAGAGAUGGGUCCGCGGUGCAUUAGUUAGUUGGUGGGGUAAAGGCCUACCAAGACAAUGAUGCAUAGCCGAGUUGAGAGACUGAUCGGCCACAUUGGGACUGAGACACGGCCCAAACUCCUACGGGAGGCUGCAGUAGGGAAUCUUCCACAAUGGGCGAAAGCCUGAUGGAGCAACGCCGCGUGUGUGAUGAAGGCUUUAGGGUCGUAAAGCACUGUUGUAUGGGAAGAAAUGCUAGAAUAGGGAAUGAUUCUAGUUCGACGGUACCAUACCAGAAAGGGACGGCUAAAUACGUGCCAGCAGCCGCGGUAAUACGUAUGUCCCGAGCGUUAUCCGGAUUUAUUGGGCGUAAAGCGAGCGCAGACGGUUGAUUAAGUCUGAUGUGAAAGCCCGGAGCUCAACUCCGGAAUGGCAUUGGAAACUGGUUAACUUGAGUGUUGUAGAGGUAAGUGGAACUCCAUGUGUAGCGGUGGAAUGCGUAGAUAUAUGGAAGAACACCAGUGGCGAAGGCGGCUUACUGGACAACAACUGACGUUGAGGCUCGAAAGUGUGG